UACGUAGGGGGCGAGCGUUGUCCGGAGUUACUGGGCGUAAAGGGCGCGUAGGCGGUAAUGCGAGUGUGAUGUGAAGGCCCUGGGCUUAACCUGGGAAGUGCAUCGCAAACGGCAUAACUAGAGUAUAUGAGAGGGUGGCGGAAUUUCCGGUGUAGCGGUGAAAUGCGUAGAGAUCGGAAGGAACGUCGAUGGCGAAGGCAGCCACCUGGCAUAAUACUGACGCUGAGGCGCGAAAGCGUGGGUAGCGAACAGG
Molecule: ribosomal RNA, 253 nt
Filed under: uncultured bacterium
Lineage: Bacteria
Description: partial 16S ribosomal RNA
Rfam family: Bacterial small subunit ribosomal RNA
Source: RNAcentral